AAUAGAAUUGCAAUAUGAAGCUGG
Molecule: non-coding RNA, 24 nt
Filed under: Arabidopsis thaliana (thale cress)
Lineage: Eukaryota; Viridiplantae; Streptophyta; Magnoliopsida; Brassicales; Brassicaceae
Source: RNAcentral